RNAcentral lists this unclassified non-coding RNA (282 nucleotides) under plant metagenome. RNAcentral's name for it is "partial contains small subunit ribosomal RNA, internal transcribed spacer 1, and 5.8S ribosomal RNA". The record is from RNAcentral.
UUUCCGUAGGUGAACCUGCGGAAGGAUCAUUGUCGAAACCUGCCCAGCAGAACGACCCGCGAACUUGUAUAAACAACCGGGGGCGGGGGGCGUUCUCGCCCCGUGCCCCCGAACGGCGGGGAGACACUCGUGCCUUCUUGCCGAACAACGAACCCCGGCGCGGUCUGCGCCAAGGAACUUUAACUAAAGAGUGCCUCCGGUCGCCUCGGAAACGGCGUGCGUGCCGGGGGCGAACCUUGUGCAAAACCAUAACGACUCUCGGCAACGGAUAUCUCGGCUCUC